CUUACUGCCUGCCUUUUAGGUAUAGUGGGUUUUUAUUUUGGUUUUUUUGAAACAAAGUCUCUACAUAGUUCAGGCUGGCCUUGCGCUCACUACUGUAGCCCAGGUGAGCCUUGAACUUGGGACCCUUCUGGCCUGGCCUCCUAAGUUUAGGGAUUACAGGUGUGCAGCACCAUGGGUGCCCGCCUUUAGAAUUGUGGUGUCUUCUGCGCUUAUUCAGCCCUAGGGUGUCCAGCUGGUGCUGGGCCCUGCUACUGGCUCAGCUGUGCCUGCUGUUCUGGGGGCUCCCAAGCCGGCGGGGGCUGCGCCAGGCGGGGGCCUGCACCAGGCGGGGCCUGCUUGGGCUCUUGCCUUCAGAGCAGUGUUUGGAGAACUGUGCUCAGCCACUGUGCAUUAGAAGUGCUUCUGCGUUACCACAGAGAAGUGCAAAUGCUGCUUAAAAAUACCACAGCACAUCAGUGUGCGGAGUGGACCCUGGCUGGGGGCACUGUGCAGUGAGAUGGGAGGAGGCCGGGUCUGCUCGCCGGUGGGGAGCUGGGCCGGGCGCGGGGAGGGGUCUGGCACAGGUUGUCCUGCUGUGGGAAGCAGGCCUGUCCUUCCCGGGUUCCUGAGUUUGUGACAGAUAGCAUUUUCACCUUUUUUAUAGGAUGACGACAGAUACGAGCAGGCAAGUGAUGUUCGGGCUCAGCUGAAAUUUUUUGAACAACUCGAUCAGAUUGAAAAGCAGAGGAAAGAUGAACAGGAGAGGGAAAUCUUGAUGCGGGCAGCAAAGUCGCGAUCCAGACAGGAAGAUCCAGAACAAUUACGGUUGAAGCAGAAGGCAAAAGAGGUAAGCUAAAAGUUUUAGUCCCAGGCUCUUCGCUGCCCACUUGCAGCUCAUCGUCCCAGAUGCCUGGCAGAAAAGAGCAUGGCUGAGCACACCGUGGAGUUUCUGAACAUGGGCGUUGAUGUAGCUGUUUGAAAUUUGCAAGGUUCAAAUCAUGCCAAGUCAAAGAUGCAGCAGCAGGAACUGGCACAGAUGCGACAGCGGGAUGCCAACCUCACGGCACUGGCGGCGAUCGGGCCCAGGAAAAAGAGGAAAGUGGACUAUGCAGGGCCGGGAUCGGAGCAGAGGUACAGCAGCAGCGGGGG
This 1128-nucleotide long non-coding RNA is filed under the name Heterocephalus glaber (naked mole-rat). RNAcentral describes it as "lncRNA (ENSHGLG00000033223.1)". Lineage: Eukaryota; Metazoa; Chordata; Mammalia; Rodentia; Bathyergidae. The record is from RNAcentral.